AAUUUUCAGGAAUUUGACAGUGAGGGAAAUGUCAUUAUACAGCCAGGGGACUUGAAAAAAGUCUUGUUCAGAUUUGGCAUUCCAGUCACCCCAGAAGACUUUAGGAAGCUUUGGGCAAGGUCUCUUCUCAGACUGCUCUAGGCAACAUGGACUUAGACCUACCGGAUCACAAUCAACAGGUGAUACACUCAAAAACAAAGAAGAGAAGUCUUGUCUUGCAGAUAAAGAGGCAGCUUGGGAAAUCAUUAAACAACAACAACAAAAAAAGACACCACAGAGAUGCCUGUAAGGAUUACUUCCAAGAUUUCAAGAAGGCCUUUCAUAAAAUGGAUAAAAAUAGAGAUGGCUGUGUAACAGUAUUUGACCUGCACAGGAUACUACAAGAAUUCAACUGUUACCUUGAUCAUGAUCAGUUAAGCAGUCUUCUAAACAGUGCCAUACAUCACGCAGAGAGCAGGAUACCUGCCCUGCCUUGUGCCAAGCAGCCAUCAGACCUCCACGGAUCCCUUCAGGCAGCAGAAACAAGGGCAUCAGCAGCUGCCCCCAGGACUUUCACAGGCUGUCAGUAG
This 569-nucleotide long non-coding RNA is filed under the name Anser brachyrhynchus (Pink-footed goose). RNAcentral's name for it is "lncRNA (ENSABRG00000009120.1)". Lineage: Eukaryota; Metazoa; Chordata; Aves; Anseriformes; Anatidae. The record is from RNAcentral.